GAAACUGGGAGACUUGAGUGCAGGAGAGGAGAGUGGAAUUCCUAGUGUAGCGGUGAAAUGCGUAGAUAUUAGGAGGAACACCAGUUGCGAAGGCGGCUCUCUGGACUGUAACUGACGCUGAGGCACGCAAGCGUGGGGAGCAAACAGGAUUAGAUACCCUGGUAGUCCACGCUGUAAACGAUGAGUACUAGGUGUCGGGGGUUACCCCC
Molecule: ribosomal RNA, 209 nt
Filed under: Clostridioides difficile
Lineage: Bacteria; Bacillati; Bacillota; Clostridia; Peptostreptococcales; Peptostreptococcaceae
Description: partial 16S ribosomal RNA
Rfam family: Bacterial small subunit ribosomal RNA
Source: RNAcentral